AUUGAACGCUGGCGGCAUGCCUAACACAUGCAAGUCGAACGGUAACAGGCCCUUCGGGUGCUGACGAGUGGCGGAUGGGUGAGUAAUACUUAGGAAUCUACCCUGUAGUGGGGGACAACCCGGGGAAACUCGGGCUAAUACCGCAUACGCUCUACGGAGGAAAGCGGGGGACCGCAAGGCCUCGCGCUAUUGGAUGAGCCUAAGCCCGAUUAGCUAGUUGGUGGGGUAAUAGCCUACCAAGGCAAUGAUCGGUAGCUGGUCUGAGAGGACGACCAGCCACACUGGGACUGAGACACGGCCCAGACUCCUACGGGAGGCAGCAGUGGGAAUCUUGCGCAA
RNAcentral lists this ribosomal RNA (339 nucleotides) under uncultured bacterium. Its description in RNAcentral is "bacterial SSU rRNA". It matches the Rfam family "Bacterial small subunit ribosomal RNA", at positions 30 to 371 of the family's 1533-position model. The record is from RNAcentral.